This 258-nucleotide ribosomal RNA is filed under the name Triticum aestivum (bread wheat). RNAcentral describes it as "partial small subunit ribosomal RNA". The record is from RNAcentral. Lineage: Eukaryota; Viridiplantae; Streptophyta; Magnoliopsida; Poales; Poaceae.
AUGCCCGUCAAACUAGUCGGCGUUGAUGUCGAGUACACACACUACGAGAAGCCACAGCGUGCAGCGGUACUACAGCUAUGCGUAGAAAAAGAAUGCCUUGUCUACCACAUAUCUGCAGCUAAAGACAGGCCAAUGGAACUAGACAAAUUCCUGAUGAAUGAUGAGUACACCUUCGUCGGAUUCGCUAUUGAAGGAGACAAAAGCAAGCUGAAGGUAUCUGGUUUGGAGAUCAACUCCAACAACUACAUUGAUAUUUAG